GUCCACGCCUAACGAUGUCAACUGGUUGUUGGGUCUUCACUGACUCAGUAACGAAGCUAACGCGUGAAGUUGACCGCCUGGGAGUACGGCCGCAAGGUUGAACUCAAGGAAUUGACGGGACCCGCACAAGCGGUGGAUGAUGUGGUUUAAUUCGAUGCAACGCGAAACCUUUAACCCACCUUUGACAUGUACGGAAUUUUCCUAGAGAUGGAUCAGUGCUCGAAAGAGAACCGUAACACAGGUGCUGCAUGGCUGUCGU
Molecule: ribosomal RNA, 259 nt
Filed under: uncultured bacterium
Lineage: Bacteria
Description: partial 16S ribosomal RNA
Rfam family: Bacterial small subunit ribosomal RNA
Source: RNAcentral